CUUAGUUAAAUAUUGAUUUUAUUAUUGAACAGUUUUUAAUGGACACAGGAUAAAAUGUAUAGAUAUAAAACAUAAAAAGAAAUAAAUACAAGAAGCCAAUGAUCAUAAUCACAUGGACCUUGAUCUCAUUCAAAACAGCAGUUUCAAUCAGCUCCAAAACACUUGUCCAUCUGUAUACAAUCUUAAAAGCAGCAGAAAAUGAAUUCAACCCUCCCCUCCCCCC
Molecule: non-coding RNA, 223 nt
Organism: Biomphalaria pfeifferi
Lineage: Eukaryota; Metazoa; Mollusca; Gastropoda; Planorbidae
Source: the annotation of a GenBank genome assembly